UGGGGAAUAUUGCACAAUGGGGGAAACCCUGAUGCAGCGACGCCGCGUGAGCGAAGAAGGUUUUCGAAUCGUAAAGCUCUGUCCUAUGAGAAGAUAAUGACGGUAUCAUAGGAGGAAGCCCCGGCUAAAUACGUGCCAGCAGCCGCGGUAAUACGUAUGGGGCGAGCGUUGUCCGGAAUUAUUGGGCGUAAAGGGUACGUAGGCGGUCUAUUAAGUCAGGUGUGAAAGCGUGAGGCUUAACCUCAUUAAGCACUUGAAACUGAUAGACUUGAGUGAAGGAGAGGAAAGUGGAAUUCCUAGUGUAGCGGUGAAAUGCGUAGAUAUUAGGAGGAAUACCGGUGGCGAAGGCGACUUUCUGGACUUUUACUGACGCUGAGGUACGAAAGCGUGGGGAGCAAACAGG
Molecule: ribosomal RNA, 403 nt
Filed under: Verrucomicrobiota bacterium
Lineage: Bacteria; Pseudomonadati; Verrucomicrobiota
Description: Verrucomicrobia bacterium partial 16S ribosomal RNA
Rfam family: Bacterial small subunit ribosomal RNA
Source: RNAcentral